AGUGAAUGCUGGCGGUAGGCCUAACACAUGCAAGUCGAACGGCAGCACAGGAGAGCUUGCUCUCUGGGUGGCGAGUGGCGGACGGGUGAGGAAUACAUCGGAAUCUACUUUUUCGUGGGGGAUAACGUAGGGAAACUUACGCUAAUACCGCAUACAACCUACGGGUGAAAGCAGGGGAUCUUCGGACCUUGCGCGAUUGAAUGAGCCGAUGGCGGAUUAGCUAGUUGGCGGGGUAAAGGCACACCAAGGCGACGAUCCGUAGCUGGUCUGAGAGGAUGAUCAGCCACACUGGAACUGAGACACGGUCCAGACUCCUACGGGAGGCAGCAGUGGGGAAUAUUGGACAAUGGGCGCAAGCCUGAUCCAGCCAUACCGCGUGGGUGAAGAAGGCCUUCGGGUUGUAAAGCCCUUUUGUUGGGAAAGAAAUCCAGCUGGUUAAUACCCGGUUGGGAUGACGGUACCCAAAGAAUAAGCACCGGCUAACUUCGUGCCAGCCGCCGCCGUAA
This 506-nucleotide ribosomal RNA is filed under the name uncultured bacterium. RNAcentral describes it as "partial 16S ribosomal RNA". It matches the Rfam family "Bacterial small subunit ribosomal RNA", at positions 29 to 523 of the family's 1533-position model. The record is from RNAcentral.